RNAcentral lists this ribosomal RNA (623 nucleotides) under uncultured bacterium. RNAcentral describes it as "bacterial SSU rRNA". The stretch from base 1 to 440 matches the Rfam family "Bacterial small subunit ribosomal RNA", at positions 72 to 546 of the family's 1533-position model. The record is from RNAcentral.
UGUAGCAAUACAGCAGCGGCAGACGGGAUAGUACACGUGGGAACGCGCCCUUCGGUUCGGAAUAACUCAGGAAACUUGAGCUAAUACCGGAUACGCCCUUACGGGGAAAGAUUUAUUGCCGAAGGAACGGCCCGCGUCCGAUUAGCUAGUUGGUGAGGUAAUGGCUCACCAAGGCGACGAUCGGUAGCUGGAUCUGAGAGGAUGACCAGCAUCACUGGGACUGAGACACGGACCAGACUCCUAACGGGAGGCAGCAGUGGGGAAUAUUGGACAAUGGGCGCAGCCUGAUCCAGCCAUGCCGCGUGGAUGAUGAAGGCCCUAGAGGUUGUAAAGUCCUUUUAACGGGGAAGAUAAUGACGGUACCCGUAGAAUAAGCCCCGGCUAACUUCAGAUAACCAGACAGCCAGACGAGUAAUAACGGAAGGGGGCUAGCGUUGCUCGGCAAAUUACUGGGACGUAAAGACGGCACGAUAGAGACGGGGAUUCUUACACGAUACGGUGGUGACCAUACCUGGAGCUCAAUCACAGAACUGGCCUUUACAGAUACUAGGGAAUCUUUGAGUCACGGAAAGAAGGUGAGCGGAACUGGAGAGUGUAAGAGGUGAACAUUCGUUAGGAUAUUC